CAAAUUCCAGAAUUGCCUCAAAACUCGUUUCAACACAGAAAACGCUCUUACCGUAAAUUCUCUCUCCUCGAUGUAGCUACCGUCGAUGGCAAAUCUCUCUCUUGCGCGCUCAUGCACCGUCGAAGAUAUGGUUGAGACCAGAUCUCUGGUGCAUGAGAAGGUGCGAGAAUUGGCGGUGGAGAGACCAUUCACGAAAGCAGAUGAAGUUCAGAUGGGUCCUAACCAGCUAUGCACUUUCCUGACGUUGCGGUGACGACCUUACUCCAUUUUGUAAGCGUGUACUGAGCAAAGCCAAGAAAGUGUUGACACGAAAAUUGAUCAAUUUUGAUUAUUAUCGACAAGUAACAAACUGAGUCAAUAAAUAGAAUUUGGUUAGGAUAAUGAAUAACUUUCAGAAAUUGAUAACUCUCCAAUAAAGUUUUCGACAACAAAUAUCUGAUAUUGACAAGAACCUUCACCUCAAAUGAAGUCAUUGGCAUUGGCAUGUAACUAUUGAGUAGCAAUAUUUUCCAACAUGUAACUUCCUAUAUAUAAGUGUUGCUUAAUAAUAGGAGACCACAAAGUAACUUCUUGUAAUCACAGAUGGGAUUAAGAAAUUGUUUCUUUUUUCAAAUUUAGUAAUCUUUGUAUGUACUUGCCAUAUAUAAAAUGUUGGUAGAGGGUUAUAUA
Molecule: long non-coding RNA, 669 nt
Organism: Eucalyptus grandis
Lineage: Eukaryota; Viridiplantae; Streptophyta; Magnoliopsida; Myrtales; Myrtaceae
Exons: 2
Source: RefSeq, a predicted model, not a curated record